UAGGGAAUCUUCCGCAAUGGGCGAAAGCCUGACGGAGCAACGCCGCGUGAGUGAUGAAGGUCUUCGGAUCGUAAAACUCUGUUAUUAGGGAAGAACAAAUGUGUAAGUAACUAUGCACGUCUUGACGGUACCUAAUCAGAAAGCCACGGCUAACUACGUGCCAGCAGCCGCGGUAAUACGUAGGUGGCAAGCGUUAUCCGGAAUUAUUGGGCGUAAAGCGCGCGUAGGCGGUUUUUUAAGUCUGAUGUGAAAGCCCACGGCUCAACCGUGGAGGGUCAUUGGAAACUGGAAAACUUAAGUUCAGAAGAGGAAAGUGGAAUUCCAUGUGUAGCGGUGAAAUGCGCAGAGAUAUGUAGGAACACCAGUGGCGAAGGCGACUUUCUGGUCUGUAACUGACGCUGAUGUGCGAAAGCGUGGGGAUCAAACAGG
RNAcentral lists this ribosomal RNA (429 nucleotides) under Actinomycetes bacterium. Its description in RNAcentral is "Actinobacteria bacterium partial 16S ribosomal RNA". It matches the Rfam family "Bacterial small subunit ribosomal RNA", at positions 355 to 776 of the family's 1533-position model. Lineage: Bacteria; Bacillati; Actinomycetota; Actinomycetes. The record is from RNAcentral.